AGAGUUUGAUCCUGGCUCAGGAUGAACGCUAGCUACAGGCUUAACACAUGCAAGUCGAGGGGAGACGAUAUUGGAAGCUUGCUUCCGAUAGGCGUCGACCGGCGCACGGGUGAGUAACGCGUAUCCAACCUGCCCACCACUUGGGGAUAACCUUGCGAAAGUAAGACUAAUACCCAAUGAUAUCUCUAGAAGGCAUCUGAAGGAGAUUAAAGAUUUAUCGGUGAUGGAUGGGGAUGCGUCUGAUUAGCUUGUUGGCGGGGUAACGGCCCACCAAGGCGACGAUCAGUAGGGGUUCUGAGAGGAAGGUCCCCCACAUUGGAACUGAGACACGGUCCAAACUCCUACGGGAGGCAGCAGUGAGGAAUAUUGGUCAAUGGGCGAGAGCCUGAACCAGCCAAGUAGCGUGCAGGAUGACGGCCCUAUGGGUUGUAAACUGCUUUUAUAAGGGAAUAAAGUGAGUCUCGUGAGACUUUUUGCAUGUACCUUAUGAAUAAGGACCGGCUAAUUCCGUGCCAGCAGCCGCGGUAAUACGGAAGGUCCGGGCGUUAUCCGGAUUUAUUGGGUUUAAAGGGAGCGUAGGCCGGAGAUUAAGCGUGUUGUGAAAUGUAGACGCUCAACGUCUGCACUGCAGCGCGAACUGGUUUCCUUGAGUACGCACAAAGUGGGCGGAAUUCGUGGUGUAGCGGUGAAAUGCUUAGAUAUCACGAAGAACUCCGAUUGCGAAGGCAGCUCACUGGAGCGCAACUGACGCUGAAGCUCGAAAGUGCGGGUAUCGAACAGGAUUAGAUACCCUGGUAGUCCGCACGGUAAACGAUGGAUGCCCGCUGUUGGUCUGAAUAGGUCACCGGCCAAACGAAA
RNAcentral lists this ribosomal RNA (858 nucleotides) under uncultured bacterium. Its description in RNAcentral is "bacterial SSU rRNA". It matches the Rfam family "Bacterial small subunit ribosomal RNA", at positions 8 to 856 of the family's 1533-position model. The record is from RNAcentral.